Molecule: long non-coding RNA, 889 nt
Filed under: Pogona vitticeps (central bearded dragon)
Lineage: Eukaryota; Metazoa; Chordata; Lepidosauria; Squamata; Agamidae
Description: lncRNA (ENSPVIG00000000915.1)
Source: RNAcentral
AGUUGCUCAUAUCCUUGAUCUUAUUCCAAGAUGCUGCCUUUAUCCUAGUUUUAGGUGCCCAGAAUGAACAACAAAGAAGAGCUUCGACUUUCCUGUGCCUUGUUUAUUGCCUCCCCAGAAGCAUCUAAGCAAUCACGCUUGGAGACAGAAUGCCAGGAGACAUAGAAGCCAGGGACUUGUUCCAGGACACAAAAUGUUUAGAGCUGAGGUCGGGAACAUCUGGUCCACCAGAUGCUUUGGCCUUCAAGAUCCCACCAGCCCCAUUUUAGUAGGGCCUAUGGUAAGGAAUUUGAGGAGUUACUGUCCAGAACAACUGCAAACUAAAGAGUUCCCACUCCUUAAGGGAUUCAUCUCCUUUGUUGUUUACCGGACUCAUUAACAACAACAACAACAACAACAACAACAACAACAACAACAACAACAACAACAACAACAACAACAACAACAACAACAACAACAACAACAACAACAAAAGUCUCCCGGUGCAGCCUUGAGAAAACAUGACCAGAAGGAAGCUCUUUGUAAACCACUUCUGAGUACUUUAUACCCAGAAAAUCCUAGGAUGGUCCUUGUAAGUCAAAAUAGACUUAAUUAAUCAUUAUUUUAUGUACAUGGUUGUGUGCUUUUUAAAAAACAUUUUACACACUAUCUAUUUCAUAUUUAGAAGAAAACUGGAGGUUUUCGAGGGUUUGGGUUUGUUUGUUUGUUUGUUUUUUAGUUUAAAGCACAUGAAGGUGCUUUUGUUUUUGACUCACGCUCACUGAAAAGUCGCUCAAACCAGUGCUAGGCUGGCAUUUGUCUUGGCUGGUCCAGGACAGCUUCCCAAAGCAUCAUCAGACAGUUAGCCUGAUCUCCUUCAACAAUGGAAAGCCCCCUCUCCUCCUCUCUC